GCCACAUCUGGUCCAGCUGAUGGAAGGUCUUGAAGUUCUCUGACUGGCCUUGACUGAAGAUGGUCGUCUCACUGGAUUUAAGAGCGUUUGUGAUGCUGAAGCAGUGACCAGUUUUUCUGUUUCUUCUCUGGAGAUGCACAAUGAGGGACGUCUGCAGAGACUGAGAAAGAGUCUCACCACAUCCUGACAUGAGGAAAAAGACUUUAUUGAAGACUACAAUGAGAAAAACUAUCAGACAGCAGACGGCUGCAUUCAAGUCUGUAGCUGCUGAAUUCAUGGAUGAAUCAUCUGGCACUAGAGAAGAAGACCAUCAAACAUCCACGUCAGCUGAUGGAGGUCCAAGAGUCUCACCAAACAACCAACCUACAGAGUGAAGACCUCAAAUCUGAUUGGACGGCCUCCUAUUCAGCCACGUGUGAACAAAUGCCUCUAAGCUGAUUUGUUUUCUAAAAUAAAUCUAGUUUG
Molecule: long non-coding RNA, 465 nt
Organism: Amphiprion ocellaris (clown anemonefish)
Lineage: Eukaryota; Metazoa; Chordata; Actinopteri; Pomacentridae
Source: Ensembl